Oncorhynchus tshawytscha (Chinook salmon) is the source of this 685-nucleotide long non-coding RNA. The record is from Ensembl. NCBI's taxonomy places the organism in Eukaryota, Metazoa, Chordata, Actinopteri, Salmoniformes, Salmonidae.
UCGAGGGGGUAUAGAGACGCCAGACGAGAGCUUGACCUGACUAGAUGUUUUGGUUCGAGGGGGUAUAGAGACGCCAGACAAGAGCUUGACCUGACUAGAUGUUUUGGUUCGAGGGGGUAUAGAGACGCCAGACGAGAGCUUGACCUGACUGUAGAUGUUUUGGUUCGAGGGGGUAUAGAGACGCCAGACGAGAGCUUGACCUGACUGUAGAUGUUUUGGUUCGAGGGGGUAUAGAGACGCCAGACGAGAGCUUGACCUGACUAGAUGUUUUGGUUCGAGGGGGUAUAGAGACGCCAGACGAGAGCUUGACCUGACUAGAUGUUUUGGUUCGAGGGGGUAUAGAGACGCCAGACGAGAGCUUGACCUGACUGUAGAUGUUUUGGUUCGAGGGGGUAUAGAGACGCCAGAUGAGAGCUUGACCUGACUAGAUAUGUUUUGGUUCGAGGGGGUAUAGAGACGCCAGGCGAGAGCUUGACCUGACUGUAGAUGUUUUGGUUCGAGGGGGUAUAGAGACGCCAGACGAGAGCUUGACCUGACUAGAUGUUUUGGUUCGAGGGGGUAUAGAGACGCCAGACGAGAGCUUGACCUGACUAGAUGUUUUGGUUCGAGGGGGUAUAGAGACGCCAGACGAGAGCUUGACCUGACUGUAGAUGUUUUGGUUCGAGGGGGUAUAGAGACGCCAGAG